Molecule: ribosomal RNA, 478 nt
Filed under: uncultured bacterium
Lineage: Bacteria
Description: bacterial SSU rRNA
Rfam family: Bacterial small subunit ribosomal RNA
Source: RNAcentral
CAGGACGAACGCUGGCGGCGUGCCUAACACAUGCAAGUCGAACGGACGAGAGGAGCUUGCUCCUCAAGUUAGUGGCGGACGGGUGAGUAACACGUGAGCAACCUGCCCUUCGGAGGGGGACAACAGCUGGAAACGGCUGCUAAUACCGCAUGACACAGCGGGGAGGCAUCUCCCUGCUGUCAAAGAUUUUAUCGCCGAAGGAUGGGCUCGCGUCUGAUUAGAUAGUUGGUGAGGUAACGGCCCACCAAGUCAACGAUCAGUAGCCGGACUGAGAGGUUGAACGGCCACAUUGGGACUGAGAUACGGCCCAGACUCCUACGGGAGGCAGCAGUGGGGAAUAUUGGGCAAUGGGGGGCAACCCUGACCCAGCAACGCCGCGUGAAGGAAGAAGGCUUUCGGGUUGUAAACUUCUUUGACGAGGGACGAUAGUGACGGUACCUCGAAAACAAGCCACGGCUAACUACGUGCCAGCCGCCGC